CGAGUUGACCUCGGAUCAGGUAGGGAUACCCGCUG
This 35-nucleotide unclassified non-coding RNA is filed under the name Hirsutella kirchneri. RNAcentral describes it as "28S ribosomal RNA". The record is from RNAcentral. Lineage: Eukaryota; Fungi; Ascomycota; Sordariomycetes; Hypocreales; Ophiocordycipitaceae.